This 27-nucleotide non-coding RNA is filed under the name Mus musculus (house mouse). The record is from RNAcentral. Lineage: Eukaryota; Metazoa; Chordata; Mammalia; Rodentia; Muridae.
UGCACACACAGGUAUGUCUGUCUCUGU